CCCGUAUGAAGCGUACAGCAUUGAACUCCGGACAUCUAAGCCAUUAGAAAGGAGAUCAUUUGUGACACCACGCAGGGUUUCAAGAGUCGAAUGGGUUACGUCAUAUGUUGGAAGGACAAUGUCUCUUGAAUCCACAGAGCCACACCAUGAGAUGAUGGGAAUAGGCCCAGGCGUAUCAUUGACUUUUCGGUACUCAACUGGCCAGUCUCCAACAUUAAGAUAAAACUCCACAUUGGGGAGAUGAACCUAAAUGUAUACCCAAGAAAGUAUAAUAACAUUGGUAUAAAUACACUGCUGUUUGCCACUCUUGAGUAGAACUCUCAGCUCUCAUGUGAUGAAGAAUCAAUAAACAAAUAUUUUACAAAUUUAGAUGAUCUUAAGAUUCUAAUUUCAAAUUUCUGUCCAGUAAGUAAGUAUGAAAGGAACACCUUCAGAGGUCAGGAAGCCUACAGGGUUGGGUCUUAGCUCCUACAGAUUUUCU
Molecule: long non-coding RNA, 481 nt
Filed under: Gallus gallus (chicken)
Lineage: Eukaryota; Metazoa; Chordata; Aves; Galliformes; Phasianidae
Source: RNAcentral